UUGCUCACGUCGGCAGCACAUAUACUAAAAUUGGAAUGAUAUAGAGGAGAUCAGCAUGGCUCUUGCACAAGGAUGACACGCAAAUUCAUGAAGCAUUCCAUAUUUAA
Small nuclear RNA from Pipistrellus kuhlii (Kuhl's pipistrelle), 107 nucleotides. The record is from RefSeq and is a predicted model, not a curated record. NCBI's taxonomy places the organism in Eukaryota, Metazoa, Chordata, Mammalia, Chiroptera, Vespertilionidae.